GGCAUUUCCUUCAACCUCAAGUAGGUAGCAGGACUGUUGUAGUGGUAUCAGGUAUUACAUCUAGACAUGGAACAAGAGAAGUUAUUUCUUUCCUAUAACUUUCUAUGGAACUAAUUUUUUUUUCACUAAGUACUUCCCAGAAGAAAAACUUCCUUCUUUUUGGAAAAUACUAAGUCAUCUAUCCAUGUAUGAACCAAUCAAUGCCAAGGAGAUGGAUUACCAUCACACCCAUCCAUGAAGAUAACCCCAAGGCUCAUGGUUCUGUGCAAAAGGAGUAGAUAUCUGAACAAGAUUUUGACUCUAUUGGGAGCAAAAGAGGAUGAUGGUUGCUGGGAAGGUUACCAACAAAGAUCACUACACUGGCCCAACUUACUGUUGACACAGUAAAGUGUCCCGCACUUGUAUGCUAGGAUUAUUAUCACAGGUUGUGUUUGCUCCAGGUUAUCGGCAUUGUGCCUGCACUGAAUAAAAACAAGCAGCUCCAACUUCUCAGGGCUGCUCUCUGGCCACUAGAGCCAGGCAGUCACCUAGCUGCUGUUAUGCUGCAUACCUGUCUCUGAGUACUCGCUUCAUCCAUCGGCCAGGGUCUGUGGGACAGACCAGGCAGGUGGUGCCCCAUGUGAGGAACGCUGCAAUGGAUUGCAAGGGAACCCCUGAAAACAAAUGUGAAGUGACUGAGCAGUGUUAACCUUAGAAGACUAGAACCUAAUGAGUUAUGGCAAACAGAUGUUAUGCACGUCCCUGAAUUUGGAAAACUAAGGUCCUCUUUGGAUUCCAGCACGAGGCAUCAAACCAUACCAUGGCAUGGCUAGGACCCAACCCGGUACCAAAAUGAAGAAAAUGACCCUACAGGACCCACAAUCCCGGAUGAUGUGGCUUCCUUGGAUGACACAGGCCCUGGACAUUACCUGGGGGAUGCUGAAGAAGACAACUCAGGAGGCCAAGCAAAUCCUGCUCCAGGCACAGACACCAUUCACUCCAGGAAGCUGCCAUUCAUUCGACAUAAGUAGGUGCUUCAUCUGAUAAGCGCUGCUUGUGUAAUUUAUCAAUGACAGAGAAGGCAGAUAGCAGCAUGCAUACUUGGGGCUGCAUUUGAAGGAGAGCAACAUCCCUUUGUUUUCACAGAGGAGAACAAGCAUGAGUUGAGAUUGUGGUGCUUCUUGAAGUCUCAUCCAGAUCAGAAACCUGCUGCUCUGUCCACAUUCCAUCCACCAAAGCAACCCAUAUGGCCAUGUCCAGCAUCAGAUGGGGAAAGGCAGUUCUCCUCUAGCACGAGGAGCUGCAAAGCCACAUGGCAAAGGAUGAGUGUGUAAAAAAUAAAUGCAGGAGGGCAGGAGGCAUUGGGAACAA
Molecule: long non-coding RNA, 1350 nt
Filed under: Homo sapiens (human)
Lineage: Eukaryota; Metazoa; Chordata; Mammalia; Primates; Hominidae
Description: long intergenic non-protein coding RNA 2826
Source: RNAcentral